RNA transcript from Eriocheir sinensis (Chinese mitten crab), 7945 nucleotides. It is a transcript of the gene named tyrosine-protein phosphatase 10D-like, with no coding region annotated. The record is from RefSeq and is a predicted model, not a curated record. Lineage: Eukaryota; Metazoa; Arthropoda; Malacostraca; Decapoda; Varunidae. The transcript has 30 exons.
AGAAAGUAAAGGUUGAAGCUGGCGCGAUAGGUGAGCGGUGAGCGGCAGGUGCGAGGCAUUAUGGGUCCCCCGAGAGUCGACUCAGGCCUGGGUGGGUAGUCGGGGACCGGGGACUGGGGACUGGCCGCCUCCCUCACCAACUCAACUCGCCGCUCAGGCGCUCACUCGCGUCGGCUCUCAGUUACCUGUACAUAGUGCGAGAGGGAAGGUGUGCGCGGAGCCCUUGUGGGAUGGAUCUAUUCAUAAUGUUUUUACUAAGCAGAUAGCACAUACUAAAGCAGCUAUCCUCAGCAAUAAGAAAAGAAAACAUAGUGACGGAUAAGCCAAGUGUUUUGUUUGUGCGUUGGUGAGCGUUCCAGUUGUGUAAGUGUGACCCAUAUCGGAAAGGUGAUGCAUAUAUGCCCGCGGGGUGAUUGGUGACCAAGGUGCACCAAAUACUGCAACAUGGAUGACAGAGGCAGAGCGAAGUUCACCUUGUGUUUGUGCAUCCUCUACACCCUGAUAGCGGAGGGGGUGGGUGCCGACGUGGUCAUUCAGAUCCCCGCGGAGCACGUACGGGAUCAAGAUGGACGGUACCGCCUCGACUACUGGCCCCCGCAAGGCAACCCGCCCCCCAACACCACCUUCACGCCCGCGCAAGUCUCUGAAGGAGUAGAGCUGACUCGGGCGCUACCAGGUACCAAGUAUGACUUUCAACUUUAUUACACCAAUGCCACCAUCAGCGACUACCCCACCUGGACGGCCUCCAUCACGACAGUUCCACAUCCCCCGGUGAACCUUGAGAUCCAAGUUCGGUCUGGGAAGAAUGCAUUGGUCAGCUGGGAGCCGCCUCCCUAUGGGAAGUACUCUUCCUUCAAGCUCAAAGUCAUCCCGCUGUCGGAGCCACAGGACAGCAACAAGAAUAUGGCGGUCACGGAGGCCCAGCUUCCCUUCAACCUGCGGGACCUCACCCCCGGGGCGUCCUAUGAGUUACAGCUGUACACAGUUUACGAGAAGAAGGAGAGUGAUGCUUACAUAUCAUCAAACUUCACCACACGACCCAAUGUGCCGGGACGCUUCAUUGUAUGGUACAGAAAUGAAACUACUAUGUUGGUGCUAUGGCAGCCGCCCUAUCCAGCUGGUGUCUACUCCCAUUACCGGGUGAGCAUUGAGCCGAGUGAUGCCUCAAAAAGUGUAUUGAAAGUAGACAAGAAGGGAGAGCCACCAGGACCUGCUCAAGCAGCCUUCCACGGCCUUGUUCCAGGGCGAGCUUACAAAAUCUCUGUGGAAACAGUGAGCCAGGAUCAAAUUUCUGUGCCCACCACAGCUCAGUACCGUACCAUUCCCCUCUCUCCUCGCAACAUUACCUUCGAUUCAAAAAGCCUUACCGCCCACUCCUUCACUGUUCGCUGGGAAGCUCCUAAAGGCAAAGGUGAAUUUGACCGCUACCAACUGAAUCUGGGAGUCAAGAAACAGUCACCUAUUUUUAUAAAUGCUGAUGAGCCCCGAGAGAUGACAUUUGAUUCAAAUCUGGAACCUGGCCAAACCUAUAAUGUUCUAAUUAAAACAUUUUCUGGGAAUGUUGCUUCUUGGCCAACUACUGGGAAUGUUACAACACGUCCUUUAAGUGUCCGCAACCUUGUGGCUAAAGAAAUGGGUGAUGGACGGGAAGUGCAAUUGACUUGGGACCCCAAUCCAGCUUCAACUCAGGAUCGCUUCAAGGUGGUAUAUCAAGAGGUAGAGCGGUAUAACGGAGACUCGCGCACCCAAAUUGUGACCGACACUUCGGCGGCAGAAGACCUCUACCCAGGCAGAAACUAUUCCAUAUCAGUGGCUGCUAUUUCUAAUGAUGUAGAGAGUGAUCCUGCUUCUCAAAUAUAUAUUGCAACAAAGCCAGCAUCCCCUAUCAUUGAAGAGUUACAGCCAAUACCACAAGGACUUAAUAUCUCUUGGAAGAGUGAUGUCACUUCCAGGCAGGAUAAGUAUGCAGUCGUCUACAUCAGAAAUGAUACAGCUGAGUCAGUGACUCGUCAGACAGUAGAUGCCCAUGUUCUGCUGGAAGACUUGUACCCAGGAGCUGGCUAUGAAAUUAAGGUGUAUGCUGUAUCUCAUGGCCUGUGGAGUGAGCCUCAUGUGUACUUCCAAGCAGUAUAUCCAAACUCUGUGCGCAAUCUAACUAUCACGGACACAAGUAACACAUCUGUGAGUCUUGCAUGGCAGUCACCCAUUGACUCCCUCUUUGCUCACUAUAUCAUUAGAUAUCGCACUUUUGAGGGGACAGCAUGGAAAGAACUCCCCACCACCAAUCAAACUGUGGGUGUUGUGGAGCAGCUGGAGGCUGGGGAGCGUUACAUCAUCCAGGUGCGCUCUGUGUCCCAUCAUGUGGAGAGCUUUUCCCCUCAGGAGGUGGAGCAAAUUGUUCCACCAAAUCCUGUGAGAGGCAUCGAACACCAUUUGGACUCGCAAAAUAUUACCUUUGAAUGGCCACGACCUGAAGGCAGGAUCGAUUACUACACAAUUCUCUGGUGGAAUGAUCUGACUCCUGAGAAAAAGAAGUCCAAAGAAAUCCCUGGCAACCAAGCUACGGAAGGCAUCAACCGUAAACUAACUGUUUUGAUCGGAGAACUGAUACCAGGGGAGCUCUAUCACUUCCAGUUUCACACAACAGCCCAUGGGGUGAAGAGUGAGAAUGUUUCAAUUACCAGCAGGACAAGACCAGUUAUCACUUCAGACAUCACCAUCGUCAACCAGUUAGAGACCCAGUCCAUGACAGUGCGCUACACCCGAACACCACCAGAUGUGGCCACAUUUGAUACUUACAGAUUCAUGUUAUCUGACCCAGCUGUUCCUGUCAAAGAGAAAAGGGAAAAUGAUACAGAUAGAAAGGUUAUAUUUGAAGGUCUAGUUCCUGGGCGGCUGUACAAUGUGAAGGUGUGGACUGUUUCCGAGGGUGUGACCAGUCAACCUUUGAUACGCCAAGACCGCUUAUAUCCUGAAGCUGUCAAGGGUAUCAAUGCCACCUUCAUAUCUGACACUGAAAUAUCACUAGCAUGGACGAAACCAAUAGGCAACUAUGAUUACUUCGAGGUACAGUAUUUGAGUGAUGAUGAGUUAAUCACUAACCGUACUAGUCAAGACUUUAUCACCAUCACUCGUCUACGGCCACACCGCAACUACACCUUCACUGUGCUCACCCGGGCUGGCAGUCUAGAGCACAUAAUGAGGCAAUCUAAGCCUGUGUCUGCUACUUUUACAACUCACGAGAGUGCCCCUGGCAAGGUGGCAGAAUUUGCUCCAAGUGAAGUUCGGCCUAACCAGAUUACCUUCAGAUGGACAUUACCUCCUGAUGAAGAAAAUGGUAUCUUAUUAGGAUUCAAAAUAAAAUAUGGAAUAAAAGGUUCAUCCAGUACAAGUGUUCACGAGUUUGGUCCUGAAGAAUUUGAAGGAACCAUUACCAAUCUCAUCCCAGGCCAGGAAUACACAUUUGAGAUUGAAGCAAUAAAUAAAAUUGGUUCUGGACGUGUUAAGUACUGGGAAGAAAGAAUGCCAAUUGGAGCUCCUCCACAACCAAGUCCCCAGGUGUUUCCAACAGAAGUUGCACGAGAUUCCACAACCAUUCACAUCCGUUAUCGGCAAAACUAUUUUUCGAAUAUAAAUGGUCGAGUUAUCAAGUACACAAUCAUAGUGGCCGAGGAUGAUACCAAAUUAUCAAAAGGCCUAGAGCUACCAACCUGGCAAGAUGUUCAAAGCUACCCAGUAUGGCCGCCAUACCAAGUAACAGAGCCAUACUUCCCUUUUACCAAUAAAUCAGUAGAGGAUUUUGUUAUUGGGACAGAAAAGAAUUGUCGAAUAAAACCUGGCUUUUGUAAUGGAAAGCUUAAGCCAGGAUCAACCUACAGAGUUAAGAUCCGUGCAUACACUGGUGCUGACAAGUUUGUAGAUACUAACUACAGUAUCCCUAUAACUACAGACUUCGAGGGAAGCAAUGUUGGCCUUGCUGUGGCAAUACCUGUGCUGCUGUUGGCACUGGUGGUUGUGGUGAUUCUGGUGAUGAGGCAGCGAAGGGUGUGUUUCUUUCCCAAGAAGACAAUGGAAAGCAGAAAAGACAAUGACAUGCACUCCUUACCAGAUUCUCUCAUUGAAACUUCACGUCCAGUCAAACUCAAGGACUUUGCUGCUCAUUAUCGGUUCAUGGCGGCAGACUCAGAGUACCACUUCUCAGAGGAAUAUGAAGCAUUGAAGCACGUUGGACAUGACCUUCAACGUACUGCUGCAGACCUGCCAGUCAACAGACCUAAAAACCGCUUCACCAAUAUCCUUCCCUAUGACCAUUCUCGCUUCAAGCUGCAGCCUACUGAUGAUGAAGAGGGAACAGACUAUAUAAAUGGAAAUUUUGUACCUGGCUAUAACUCACCACGGGAGUUUAUAGUGACCCAGGGUCCCCUGCCCUCCACCAGAGAUGACUUCUGGAGGAUGUGUUGGGAAAGCAACUCUCGUGCCAUAGUCAUGCUCACACGCUGUAUUGAAAAGGGUCGAGAGAAAUGUGACCACUACUGGCCAUAUGACACCCAGCCUGUCUACUAUGGUGAUAUUCAGGUCACUAUUCUCAAUGAGAGUCAGUUUCCUGAUUGGAGUAUCUCAGAGUUCAGAGUGUGCAAGGGGGAUGUAUGUCGGGUCGUCAGACACUUUCAUUUUACAACGUGGCCAGACUUUGGUGUACCUGAUCCUCCACAGACUCUGGUCAGAUUUGUCAGGUCAUUCAGAGAGAGAGUAGGCCCAGAUCAAAAGCCUAUUGUUGUUCACUGUAGUGCUGGUGUGGGUCGAUCUGGAACCUUCAUCGCUCUUGAUCGUAUAUUGUUCAGCAUACGAACAUGUGAUUAUGUAGAUAUAUUUGGUAUUGUGUAUGAGAUGCGACGAGAGCGUGUGUGGAUGGUUCAAACAGAGCAGCAGUAUAUAUGCAUUCACCAGUGUCUUCUUGCAGUAUUGGAGGGAAGAGAAAAUGAACAUUCUGUAACAGAAAUACAUGACAACCAGGGAUUUGAAGGGCUCAAUGGGAAGGUGAUGAGGUGAUGAGUGGAGGUGCAACAAAACAGAUGAUAUUCUUUCCUUCUGCUGCUGUCAUUUUUGGAUGAUGAAGGAAUAGCAGAGUCGGGCAUGUGACAAGAGGCUUAUAGUCUGCAGCACAUGCCGAUCCAUCACAUAAGUAUAGAACUUUGCUCCUGAGAGUAUUUUUCAAGAUGUAUACCCAGGACCUUAGUGUUGAAAGUCAAUAUGGAUACUGGUGUUGGUUUCCAUGGUAAUUAUCUAACUUUUUUUUAUUUCCGUUUACAAAUUAGUAAUAACAUGAUGAUAAAAAGUCAACAACUUCCUUAUCAAAUUCAUAUUGUCUGUAUGUGGGUGCUGAAACAUUGUGGUAAACUAAAGGGCUGGUUUUUUCAUGAUAUGGGUUCUAUUCACCUGUGCUAAAUUUUUGUUUCAUUUUUUGUGUGUUUUCCAGAGCUAAUUCUGUUCAUCUCCAGGUCCCUCACCACUUUAAAAUAUGUCAAGCUACAUAUUUUUCCCACAACAAAUUUUAAAUAAUAUAUACACUUUUAUUUACAAAGGCUGUGCAAAGUAUGAAAUGAAUGAUAAAAAUUGUAGCUGUGCACUAGUUGUUUACAUUUCUUAGAUCCAUGUAUUCAGUCUGCCCUUGCUACUGAUUUUUUGCUGCAUCUCUUAUACCUGGUACUUAUUGGUGUCCUUUAUUUUUACCCUUUUUUUUUCAUUUUGUUUUGUACGUAUUUCAAUAGUUUCACUUUGUUGGAAAAAUUUUUAAGUAUUUAUUCCCUCUUUGUAUUUACUUUUACAUUCCAAGUUAUCAAUUUUACAUUAUACAUUUUUCUUUCUUAUGCAAUUUCCCAGUUUUCAUUUGCUAAUCUCUCAUGUUCAGUGUUACUUCAUAAACAUCCAGUUAUUGUUUGUCCUUAUUUUCAUCACAAUAGUAAAGUGGUCCAAGUUUUCAAAUUUCCAGCUGUGUACACUCAUUUUCCCUCAUUCUCUCAAGUACUAUUUACUUUCCCAUCAUCCCAUCCACUGCAUCACUUACUAUCAAGCCAAUCUGAUGUAAGACUUCUUGAGCCUGCAACAGACUAGCAAGCCCAUGCGGGUCAGCUAAAUGUAAGCAUAUCACUGAUGUGUAUUAUCAGUAAUUUCAAUCUGUGGAUUCAUCAAAUUUUCCUUUGUAUCUUUUGACUCUUAUCUUUACUCAGGAAAUACUUUUUAACUUUCUUCCACUCUUUCACUUCCCUGACAGUAAAUUUCCUGGCAUCAACUCUAGCCAAGAUUAUCAAAUGACUUGCCUAGAACUUAAAAGUUUUGUCAGUGUCCCCUCUGUCAGUCCCCUUGUUCACUUGAAGAUCUAAGCUUAUCACCUACCAUCCUGUGCCUUUUUGAGGAGUACAAAAUGAUAUGUAUAUAUAUGAUUUUUUCUAUGAUAAUUUUCUCAUCCUGAAUAUUUCUUUGUAAUAUUUUCUUCACAGACUCAAAUUAUUCUGUUUUAAUUAUGUUUAAGAGAACCAGAACAAAACAGUAUGAUCAGUGUGAGGACUUACUAGUUCUGAAUAAAGUUUAGGGAUAACCUGCUCUUCUAUAGCAGAAACUUUAAAAAAUAUUUAACUUAAUACUCUUAUUGGCACAACUUCUAAUAUAAAGGCACUGAUCAAGGUCUAAACUCAUUUACAUUCAAAUCUUGCCAAAUUAGAUUCCGAGGUGAAUGUAAUCUAAUGCAGUAUAGUUAUAUUGUAAAGCUGGUAUGCCGCCUACACACAGUAUUCCUGUGCCAGCUAUGAGGACUUAUAUCCUUAGGUCGUGUAAAGGGAAAAAAUGAAUUGCAGACAAAUAUGAAAUUCCCGUGUACUUAAUGAAACACAAGUUUGUCUUGUGGUACUUAACUUGGCUCUGGUGAUGAACUGUAGUGAGCCCGUAAGGUUUUUCAUUCCUAAUUGGUACCCUAAAGUCAUUGCUAAACUUAAAUCAUGCCAAACAAAAAGUAUUUAAUUUGAAGAAAAAUAUUGGUUUUGGGGUCCUCCACCCUACAAUUUUACAAUUUUAGCUUAUCAUCAACAGACUUUGUUCUUACAUCUUAAUAUGGUGUCUUUCCUUGUGCUCUUUAAACUUCCUGGUUACUCAAGUGGUCUUUCAUUGUUAUGGGCAGUACCUGGGCCUUUAGGUACCAGACACAAAGGUGAUAAUAGAAUGGAAAAAUAAUGGCCACACUCGAGGGAGAGGGGCAAAAUAAACAGCAGUCUGUGCAGGUGCGACAUUGAGGAGGAGUCACGCCAGCAACAUAGCCGACAAUGCUACAGCUUGUAUUGUCUAUCACUUUGCUGCAAAAUUUAAACUUAAUUCUUCUAUGUCAAGCCUGGAUUUGGAAUAUUUUACAUUGAAGUUGCUAAACUCAGUACCUCACUGUAUUUUCUUUAUCUUUGAAACUACCAAGUAAUUGACCAUUCUGUAAAAUGGAGGUUAUUCUUUUCAUCUAGAUAUUCUAGGUGCUAAAUGUUUUAGAAUGUUGAAAGCUGAAUGUUUUCUCAUAAGAAUCAUUGAGGAAGUCACUAGAAUAUGAAAUACUCGCAAUCACUCUCAGUGUGUGUUUGUAUGUGUGUAUGUGUGUAUAAACAGUGUUUUAAGUUCCUUGUAUAUUAACAAGAACCAGAGUAAAUAAACGAGUAUAUCCUGAAAAUAACAAUUAAUAAAAAAUUAGCUUUCUAAACUUUGUACAGCAUAAUUGCCUACUUAAAAAAACAUUGAUGAUUUGCUCAUAAUGGUUAAUCAGUUUGAAGGUGAAGCAAUACAAAAUCAACUUGUCCAAAUUAGUUAUUUCAUACAUGUAUUUUAAAUGUUGUUAUAAGUGUAGAUAUCUGUAUUUUUUUACAGUUUGUAUUGUAUAUAUUGUGUAUGAUCCAUAUUUUUAUAAAAUUAUAACACA